AUUGAACGCUGGCGGCAGGCCUAACACAUGCAAGUCGAACGGAGUGGCGGACGGGUGAGUAAUGUCUGGGAAUCUGCCUGGUAGUGGGGGAUAACGUCCGGAAACGGGCGCUAAUACCGCAUACUAUCAGAUGAGCCUAGGUCGGAUUAGCUAGUUGGUGGGGUAAAGGCCUACCAAGGCGACGAUCCGUAACUGGUCUGAGAGGAUGAUCAGUCACACUGGAACUGAGACACGGGCCAGACUCCUACGGGAGGCAGCAGUGGGGAAUCUUCCGCAAUGGACGAAAGUCUGACGGAGCAACGCCGCGUGAGUGAUGACGGCCUUCGGGUUGGAAAGCUCUGUUAAUCGGGACGCGGUACCGGAAUAGAAAGCCACGGCUAACUACGUGCCAGCAGCCGCGGUAAUUC
RNAcentral lists this ribosomal RNA (407 nucleotides) under uncultured bacterium. RNAcentral's name for it is "partial 16S ribosomal RNA". It matches the Rfam family "Bacterial small subunit ribosomal RNA", at positions 30 to 526 of the family's 1533-position model. The record is from RNAcentral.